This is a long non-coding RNA of Carlito syrichta (Philippine tarsier), 782 nucleotides long. RefSeq lists it as uncharacterized. The record is from RefSeq and is a predicted model, not a curated record. NCBI's taxonomy places the organism in Eukaryota, Metazoa, Chordata, Mammalia, Primates, Tarsiidae. The transcript has 2 exons.
CACAUCACACACAGUACCAUGUGUCUCAAACUCAUCACGAAUACGUUCAAUUGUUAGGUGUGUUGGAGGUUCUGUUGCAUACUUACGUCUCCAUUGUUGUACUUCCACAACGUUCUCAAAUUUCAAAUACCACUUCAAAAUGGCCUUGCAUUCCUCAAAUGACAACUGUGCUGCUGUCAUUUUAUUUGUCCUGCCUACUGCAGGGAGACACUAGCAUCAUUUGAUUAACGCCAUCUUUUGAGCAAAUGUAAUUCAACUUCGAAGAGUAAUACAUGGAUAAUAUCGCUUAAAAUGUGUAUGCAUUUUUUUGGCACACCUGUUUAGGCUAUAAAAACACUUAUCUGAUAAGACCAUCCAUCUGCUUUUGUUUCUAUCAUUCAUAAACCAGAAACAGAAUUUUCAACACAGACUGCAGAUCCAGGUCUUCUAAAACUGGAAUACCUUGCUUCAUGUUACCUCAAGAAACACAGACUCCUUAAGCAUGACUGGUAGCAUAUUGUAAUUUGUCUUUUUUGGAAACCCAGACUUCUCAAGCAUGACUAGUAUCGACCCAUUGUGUAUUCCGUGCCUGGUGACCAGGACCCCCCUCAGGGUCUCCAAGACAUCCACAGGUGGUCAACAAGGAAGUCACAGCAGUCACGUCUACCUGAUUGCAACAUCUCCAGGGAAAAGGAUUUAAGCCAGGACUCUAGGGGGCUACGGGGCCACCCUCAUCUAGAGUGUAGGCCCGCUUACUGUCUGUGGGAAGUGAACCUUUCGGAAAUAAAUCUUUUCUUCUUUUA